RNAcentral lists this ribosomal RNA (278 nucleotides) under uncultured Methanosaeta sp. RNAcentral describes it as "partial 16S ribosomal RNA". It matches the Rfam family "Archaeal small subunit ribosomal RNA", at positions 1067 to 1338 of the family's 1478-position model. Lineage: Archaea; Methanobacteriati; Methanobacteriota; Methanomicrobia; Methanotrichales; Methanotrichaceae. The record is from RNAcentral.
CCAGCAGUACCCUCCCGGGGUGAUGGGUACGACUGUGGGAGACCGCCGGCUGCUAAAGCGGAGGAAGGAGUGGGCAACGGUAGGUCAGUAUGCCCCGAAUCUCCCGGGCUACACGCGGGCUACAAUGGUUGGUACAAUGGGCAUCUACCCCGAAAGGGGAAGGAAAUCUCUUAAAGCCAAUCGUAGUUCGGAUUGAGGGCUGCAACUCGCCCUCAUGAAGCUGGAAUCCGUAGUAAUCGCGUUUCAACAGAACGCGGUGAAUACGUCCCUGCUCCUUU